GUAAAGAAAGAGAUUAAGUAGAAACGACCAGUCUUUGACAGACUACAUUGUGAUGGCUACGCUACGUAAAACAGGAACGACAUUUGAGAAUUUAUUUAUAUAAAUUUAACAAAUCUGCUUCAUAAAUCUAUCAAAAACAACUUAGUUUUGAUAUUUACAUAGAUAAAUCUAACGCGAACUAAAAUAUUGUAGUUCUCCUCAUACCAAUUGCGCGUAUACAGUUGCAACAGAAUUGGAUAGUCAAAACAGGUUUGUUCCGAAAUAAAUCGUAAAGCAAAGGGGCUGAGCAAUAAAUCUUGAUACUUGUAUAUCCUCUGCUGUAUAAAAUUAAGCAACAAGGUAAAAGAACGAACAAACCGUCCAGUGCGAAUUACCGUCCCGUUCUCACGACAAUUGAGAAUUAUCCCCGAGUUGAAAAUCCCGAAGGCAGAGCGAGCGUUCGACGAUAAAUAAUAUCGAGCAAUGAAUUAUUUUUAUAUCGGGAUCCCGUGUAGCCACGGAUUCCUGUCACGUCGAAACAUUGAAACGAGCAAAAUGAGCCAUCCACGAGACCAUCAGGCCACAGGGGUCCUCGUACCGAUGGGAAAAUAAAGCAAGAACGCCAUAACCCACGGCAGAUUUAACCAGGCGAAUGAGUGGCAGAGCAGAAAGAAAGAAAUCGUCCAAGCUAAAAAUUGAAGACUUCGAUUUCGAUGAUCGGACAAUUAACUCAGAAUAGUCACGAUCGAAACAUUGAAGACGUAUGAACCGCGUUGUUUAAAAUCGCAAUAUAAUUUCCGAAUGCUUUCUUUCUACUCUAGUAUAAAUUACAAGGUUUACCGAGCGACGAAACCAAUCAUUGACUUUUGAUGCUAUUCGGCUAAGGGAUUUUGCUCAGGAAGUUAGGAAGUUGCGGAGGAAGUUAAGAAAAAGGACUCGAGAGUGAAAGUGGAAGAUAAAAAGUUUGAGAAAGAGGACUGUUUAGAUGGUUUGGUGGUAUACGUGCUAAAGAACAGACAGAAUAUUUGUCGUUUUGAAAAACUUGCAUGCGUUGUGUUUACUUGGGCAUUUCGACUUGAAAGGAAGAUCAAUGAUUUUCAAUUUUUUCGCGACUGACUUUGAAAGAUUGCUAUCGAAGAAUUAUUGCGCUAAAACUGCGAGUCGCGAACACGUAUCUAGUCAGUAAUAAACCGAACAUGUAAAGUGGUUGUAUUAACCUGACUUCACGGAGUGAAAUUGGGCAGAUGAAAGUCAUGUAGUUUAUCUUUUAUAGAAUACAUCACUAUAUCGUUUAGGUAUCGAUAAACUUCUAUCGAUAUCAUAUGCUAUAGAAUUUUGAUUCGUGCUAUUAGCAGAGUCUGUAUGACCUUGAAUAAUUGGUGGACACGAAAGCUCGCAAGCGUUCACGACAAUUUCCAAUAAAGUUAAUAUUCACAAAAUUACACGGUCGAUUAUACUUUAUUAUCAUUACUUUGCAAGAAAAGCACUCUGAAUAAGCAUGGUUAAAUUCUUUUGACGCAGAUUUAAUCUAAAUAAUAUAUCAAUAAAUGUUCAGAAAUCACAACAAGAGCUUCCAUUUCUCGUAUUCCAAAUACAUCCAAAGCUACUCUUUAGCUAUCUGUUUAUUCCAAUGCAAUCUACAGGUACAAUCUUCGGACGUAGAGUCCCGAACUGAGCAUGGGAAAUCGCACAUGAAGCUGAAUCGAGGCAUCGAAAGGAAUCAUCGACGAUGGAAUAGCAAGACGGAGCCGCGCGUGUGCGUACAUGAACGCUCGAAGAAACGAUAGGAUAGGCCAAAGGGGUUGGUGGCGGUUCGCGUGGAACUGUAUAAUUAGAUUAGGUACAAGUCGCAUUAGCAUGUCAUGCAUAUUCCAUGAGGCGCGGACUCGACGUCGAAGUGGGAAUCAUAUUGCAUUCGGUAGUCUCGAUGUAGUUCCCUUGCUUUCUCUGCCUCUCCUCUCUCUGUUUCACGCACUUCGUUUUCGUGCUCAAGCUACGCCCGUUUUCUCCUUUUCCUCUUUUGUUUUCGCACGUUUCGUAUCGCCUCCGUUAUUUGUUUGUUAGCCUACGACUAUGUACGAGAAAACGAAACACUGCUUGGAGAAAGGGAUGGCGGAUUCUGAACUGUUAUUGAGUUUGCAAACUAAUGUUUGUGUUCGUUUGAGCACUGUUAUCGAGAUCGUUUGUAGAUCAAACUUCUGGAAUUCCUCUAAAGAAGAAGAAUAUAUCGUCGCUUUUUAGCGCGAACAAAUCCACAAACAGUUCACAGGCGAAUCGUACGUAUAACACAGUGGAAAAGGUAGCGUGUUCGGAUUUCUAUGUACGAGCAUCCUCGAGAAAUGAAAGCUCGAGGAUCGGAAGCAAACGCUUCCAAGGGAGCACGCGGAUGAAAAUAUCCAUAGUUUCAAACUGGCUGGGACUACCGUAUCGCUAUGGGCGAAAAAGGGAUGAAAUAAAGUCGUAUACCGUCAUCGCAGUAUUUUUCUCCGGUGGUUCACGAGCUUACACAUCCGGAGUCUUGGCACCGGCAAUAUCUCGUCCAACCCCCGUCUGCUUUCCUCCACCUCCAGUUUUCUAUCCCAACUCCUUCCGUUCUCCUCUUUGUCCAAAGGAUUCCGGGCCAGCGUCGGGACACGAGCCGUGCAAUACGCCGUUUCGAAAAACGUAUUACGGACUUAUCUCGCCGCUCUGCUUGUCAAGAAAGAAAACAAUGCCUUUCAGGAACGGAGGAAUUGUGUUCGUAUGCUCAUUCUAUAUCUACUGGAUUGUGAUUGCUUUUCAAUUAACGCGACGCUUCAUGGUUUCAUCCAUUUUGAUGGAAAAUUGAAGAGUUGAAGUGAAUAAACAAUACAGGUGUUAGAGAAAUAAGACAUUUUCUUGGUGAAAAGUAAUAUAGAUUCUAUGUGGAAUACGGUAAAAAAAUGCUGCGAUUGUUAUUGUGAUUAGAAUUUAUUUUAAUUACUAAAUUUAUUGCGAGGUGGAACUAUAAUGGCAACUGUCCAUUAGAUUAAACUAUAGUUAAAAAAGAUGGAAGCAUAGGGUACAUACGAAUAAAUAGCAAAAUAUAACUGAUACGAUAA
Long non-coding RNA from Bombus pascuorum, 3059 nucleotides. RefSeq lists it as uncharacterized. The transcript is spliced from 2 exons. The record is from RefSeq and is a predicted model, not a curated record. NCBI's taxonomy places the organism in Eukaryota, Metazoa, Arthropoda, Insecta, Hymenoptera, Apidae.